GAUGAACGCUGGCGGCGUGCCUAAUACAUGCAAGUCGAGCGAACAGACGAGGAGCUUGCUCCUCUGACGUUAGCGGCGGACGGGUGAGUAACACGUGGAUAACCUACCUAUAAGACUGGGAUAACUUCGGGAAACCGGAGCUAAUACCGGAUAACAUGUUGAACCGCAUGGUUCAACAGUGAAAGACGGUCUUGCUGUCGCUUAUAGAUGGAUCCGCGCCGCAUUAGCUAGUUGGUAAGGUAACGGCUUACCAAGGCAACGAUGCGUAGCCGACCUGAGAGGGUGAUCGGCCACACUGGAACUGAGACACGGUCCAGACUCCUACGGGAGGCAGCAGUAGGGAAUCUUCCGCAACGGGCGAAAGCCUGACGGAGCAACGCCGCGUGAGUGAAGAAGGUCUUCGGAUCGUAAAACUCUGUUAUUAGGGAAGAACAAAUGUGUAAGUAACUAUGCACGUCUUGACGGUACCUAAUCAGAAAGCCACGGCUAACUACGUG
This 497-nucleotide ribosomal RNA is filed under the name uncultured bacterium. RNAcentral describes it as "partial 16S ribosomal RNA". It matches the Rfam family "Bacterial small subunit ribosomal RNA", at positions 28 to 507 of the family's 1533-position model. The record is from RNAcentral.